Molecule: ribosomal RNA, 723 nt
Filed under: uncultured bacterium
Lineage: Bacteria
Description: bacterial SSU rRNA
Rfam family: Bacterial small subunit ribosomal RNA
Source: RNAcentral
GGAUAACACUUGGAAACAGGUGCUAAUACCGUAUAACACUAUUUUCCGCAUGGAAGAAAGUUGAAAGGCGCUUUUGCGUCACUGAUGGAUGGACCCGCGGUGCAUUAGCUAGUUGGUGAGGUAACGGCUCACCAAGGCCACGAUGCAUAGCCGACCUGAGAGGGUGAUCGGCCACACUGGGACUGAGACACGGCCCAGACUCCUACGGGAGGCAGCAGUAGGGAAUCUUCGGCAAUGGACGAAAGUCUGACCGAGCAACGCCGCGUGAGUGAAGAAGGUUUUCGGAUCGUAAAACUCUGUUGUUAGAGAAGAACAAGGAUGAGAGUAGAACGUUCAUCCCUUGACGGUAUCUAACCAGAAAGCCACGGCUAACUACGUGCCAGCAGCCGCGGUAAUACGUAGGUGGCAAGCGUUGUCCGGAUUUAUUGGGCGUAAAGCGAGCGCAGGCGGUUUCUUAAGUCUGAUGUGAAAGCCCCCGGCUCAACCGGGGAGGGUCAUUGGAAACUGGGAGACUUGAGUGCAGAAGAGGAGAGUGGAAUUCCAUGUGUAGCGGUGAAAUGCGUAGAUAUAUGGAGGAACACCAGUGGCGAAGGCGGCUCUCUGGUCUGUAACUGACGCUGAGGCUCGAAAGCGUGGGGAGCGAACAGGAUUAGAUACCCUGGUAGUCCACGCCGUAAACGACGCCUAUAGAGUGUUGGAGGGUUUCCGCCCUUCAGUGCUGCA